AGUAUUGCAUGGCUGAAAUGACAUCUAUUUCAUUUUUAGUUUCCAACAAGUCACAUGAUCUCAUAGCAUGGGCUAUAGGCGUGCUACAUGUCAAAUAUUUUCAAUCGGAUUUGAGACUGCAAAGUUUCAAUAAAGCAGGAAUCGCCUGUAAUCAGGUGAAAUACAACCUGGUGAAAAUUAUCGCUCUUCGUGCACACACUGCCCGUCACAUCCGGAAACAACUUAACAUCCCUAUACUUUUGUUGCUGAUAGCAGUAAAAAAUACAAGAUGCACGUCGAAUUUGGAUGAAGUCGUAACAAGGUUUGAGUAGGGGAACCUGCUCAGGAAAAUGUUCAUAA
RNAcentral lists this ribosomal RNA (339 nucleotides) under Polytomella parva. RNAcentral's name for it is "small subunit ribosomal RNA fragment number 4". It matches the Rfam family "Bacterial small subunit ribosomal RNA", at positions 1036 to 1533 of the family's 1533-position model. The record is from RNAcentral. Lineage: Eukaryota; Viridiplantae; Chlorophyta; Chlorophyceae; Chlamydomonadales; Chlamydomonadaceae. RNAcentral also lists the same sequence under 4 other names.